GACAAACGCUGGCGGCGUGCUUAAUACAUGCAAGUCGAACGGUAUACCUUCGGGUAGAUAGUGGCGGACGGGUGAGUAACACGUAGGUAACCUGCCCUAUUGUGGGGAAUAACAGCUCGAAAGAGUUGCUAAUACCGCAUAAGCUCUUACACGUGGGUGUGAGAGGAAACCUUGUAAAGGGGCGAUAGGAGGGGCCUGCGGCGGAUUAGCUAGAUGGUGGGGUAAAGGCCUACCAUGGCGACGAUCCGUA
This 250-nucleotide ribosomal RNA is filed under the name uncultured bacterium. RNAcentral's name for it is "partial 16S ribosomal RNA". It matches the Rfam family "Bacterial small subunit ribosomal RNA", at positions 28 to 285 of the family's 1533-position model. The record is from RNAcentral.